Long non-coding RNA from Argentina anserina (silverweed cinquefoil), 316 nucleotides. RefSeq lists it as uncharacterized. Lineage: Eukaryota; Viridiplantae; Streptophyta; Magnoliopsida; Rosales; Rosaceae. The transcript has 3 exons. The record is from RefSeq and is a predicted model, not a curated record.
GUACCGUUACCUCGUUAUGCAUAUUCAUGUCUGAAGUUUUCAAGAACCUGAGGACUAACAACGAGGAAGAUGAGACUUGGAGCAGGAAGGCACACGAUAUCUUACGAGUUACUUGGACUGCGCUCCUUAUGAUAUAAUUUCCAAUGCACAAUGAUAUGCUUUAGCCAGUGAAUCAACGGUCUGAGUCCAUCCCUUCCACCCGAAGGAAAAAAAAACUGCUGCAACUAGUUUUUUUGCCUUGAUUGUACAGGCUGAACUGAAAGCUGCUUCUGCAUCAGCAUUUAAAGAUGAUGACUCAGACUACCCUCAGCCCUCU